Lepisosteus oculatus (spotted gar) is the source of this 2877-nucleotide non-coding RNA. The record is from RefSeq and is a predicted model, not a curated record. Lineage: Eukaryota; Metazoa; Chordata; Actinopteri; Semionotiformes; Lepisosteidae.
ACGUCCUAUCUGGGUAUAUCAUGUCCCGAUAUGAGACGUUUGUUGCGACAGCUGUGCCAGAGUGGCAUGGAAGCAAGGCGCCAGUCGUGAUAUACACUGCCGCGAUAUACAUGCGAUAUACAUGGGGUUCCUAUCAUGACUUGCUGCGGAGGUCUUGUCGCGAUGGUAUCCCACAGUUACGCGUUUGGCAACAGCGUGUCACGAAGCGCCAGGCUGCUGGGCGCAGUCCAUAUGGAGACCUGAACCAGGACCAGGACCCGAAGAAGCCUGUUGACUCCCCCAGCUCGUGGGCCUUCCCCUGCCGCUGGCCCGGGUCAGACUCUCCCCUGGGCCCCAGCUGUGGGGGAUUUUCAGAGCUCGAGUUCGGAGCCUUGGGCAGGAGAAGUGGCUUGUGUUUCCAGUUCAGUGAGGAAGCCGUUCUGAGACAGAGUGCUGAUCCAGCCCUGCUGGUGAAAAGCUCUGGAUGGACAGACACAGAACCUCCACUUCCUGAAGCAGCACAGGUGCAGCGCCCUGCAGACGACUGCAGCUUGACCUGUCCUCUGGCCUCCCCGCUCGCUGUCCUCUGUGUCCACAGCCCUGGACCUCUGCGCUGCACUCUGGCAGGCGAUCAGGGGUGCCCAGUAGCGUGCCAUCUUCUGCCACUUCGUCCAAUUCAGGAUCGUGGAGGAGAUAGAGCCUAUCCCUGCAAGCAAUGGGCACAAGACAGCAUAGACCCUGGACAGGACGCCAUACCAACACAGGGCAAACAGACACUCGCACCAGGACCAAUUUCCCCAGAAGCCAAUUAACCUAGAAGUACGUUUUGGGACUAUGGGAGGAAACCUACUGUACAUGAGCACAGGGAGAACAUACAACUCCACACAGUUAGCACCCGAGUUUUUAUAUAUUAAAUAUAAUUCCGUUCCUUAGGCUCUGUGUCUUUGAAGUUACAAGUUAAAUCCGGUAUUGCAGCGUUUACAAGAUUGUGAGCCUGUUAACAUGAAAUUGAUAGAGGUUUAGCCUCAGAGGAGGCUGAUAUAUACUGAAAGACACAGAAGGGAGGAAAAGCUAAGCAUGUAUUUUGGGGUUAAUGCAGAAUAGAGGGGCACAAGACUGUAAAGAGGACAAACAUUUACACGAGGAAAGGAAGGCAUAGGAUUGAGUUAACGAGUUAACUAGCUGAGAUCAUGAGCAGAAGAGACAGGCUGGAAGGAGACUACUACAGAGCAGCAGGGGUGGCUUAAGCAAGGGGGAGCAGAAAAAGUCAGCAUUAGAGAAGGACGAGCAAGGGAAGCUGUUGGGAGUUGAGGAAAGACAGUCUGAAAGACAUCUGUCCUGAAUCAGAGCAUUUGGAUUAGAGCAGCAGUGUUGUUCAGGUUAGGGGUUUUCAAGCCCAAUUUCUCUGGCAAUCUCAGAGUGUGGCCAACGUUGCUUACAGGUGAACACCCUUCCGUUUGUGAGGGUACACUAGAGCACUGCCAGGGCUCCUCUGUGAGAAGACACUUGCUUUUCCCUGUCCUGAAUGUGCUUUUCUCCUCAUUUCCUCUCGUGUCCCUGCGGCUUAGUCUCCUGCGCCGAGUCUGAAACAGGGUUUUGAAUCCCUCCCUCAGAUUAACCCCCAAUCAGCCAGACAGCCUUAAUAGCACUCAGAGGAAGACCCCCAGCCAACGGGCAAGCCACCCUGGAGCCUGAUCUCCUCACGGAGCAGAGGAAGACAAACAGGUUUGGCCUUGUCCUUGACAGGCCCCGAGCUCUGAGAGAAACCAGGUGCUGCAGUGUAUGACACAUAUUGGCACAUUCCCGUUUUCUCUCUCCCUUCACAGCCUCAAAGCUCGUAUUUUUCUUCCACUGCUCUUUCCUCGUUCCUUGAACACGACUAUAACAUCCCUCUGUUUCUGUUUCCCCUUCGCUGUCUCUUUCUCUUCAGGCCUUUCCCCCUUUCCCUCUCCAGACUCCAGACCGUUCUCCGGAUCCCCCCUGCGUACACGGGACUGAAAAAUAAUGGAAAGACGUCAUACUUACCCAGGAGUGAGGCCGGUACUGACACGCCAACUGUACAAAGUCUGAUCCCGGUCACCUCCGGACGAGAACCUGCUCUGCUCGUACGAGGAGCUGGGAGACUGGCUCUCCCUGUCCUCUCCCGGCCUGCGCUGGACCGAGAGGCUCCGUGGGCAGAAUGGGUCUGUGGUCCAAGAGAACAGAAUGAAGCCGCUCCAGCAUGUUUGAAAGCUAAAAGCCUGCUAAGCCCUAAGAGGGUGAAAGUGGUCUUAUUUCCCACACCUCUUAGCAGAUGAGUUGAGCAGAGCCUGUGUUUUGUUGCCGUGUGUUUGGAAGUGAGGUGUGAUAUCGUUCGGUAGGAGAAGCGACUCAGGAGUGCGCGGCUGAGGUGAUCCUGCUGUGGCAGGGCCCUGUUGCUUCGGCUGCUCGGCUCCAGAACAGACUGCGACAUUUGGCCGGGGAUCAAGAUUUCCUCGGCGCUGAAAGAGGCAAGCGUUCCACCGUUUGUUACCAGCUAAGGCACCUUCCAGAUUUUCGUCCCGGAUUUUUAAGAUUCCUGGGCUUUACGUUGAGAUGGGUUGUGACAAAAAAAGUUUUUUUUUUUAAACAAAAUCGCGGCGACAGAGCCGGGAUUUCCCCCUGCGCUUUCCUAGACGGCAGAGGGAGAGCAUGUGCAUGCGUGACUCUCGCAAAGCUUGAAAAACUAACGUUGCAGCGGGAUUAGAUUUCAGCUGUUUUGGCUGGUAGCUAAAGGUCACAUUAGUAGUCUAUCAGCACAUUAUAAACUAUCAGCAUACCAUUAAGAGGUACUUCACUUCACAGUUUCGCGGAAAGACACAGGAAACAGCAGAGGCUAAAGGUCUCUGAGCAGCAGACACCAUGAAGCAUGUUAAUCUG